GGACCCGCACAAGUAGUGGAGCAUGUGGUUUAAUUCGAAGAUACGCGCAGAACCUUACCAACACUUGACAUGUUCGUCGCGACUUUAAGAGAUUAAAGUUUUCGGUUCGGCCGGACGAAACACAGGUGCUGCAUGGCUGUCGUCAGCUCGUGUCGUGAGAUGUUGGUUAAGUCCCGCAACGAGCGCAACCCUCACUUUUAGUUGCCAUCAUUUAGUUGGGCACUCUGAAAGAACUGCCAGUGAUAAGCUGGAGGAAGGUGGGGAUGACGUCAAGUCCUCAUGGCCCUUACGUGUUGGGCUACACACGUGCUACAAUGGUAUUUACAACAGGAAGCAAAAAGCUAUCUCAGUU
RNAcentral lists this ribosomal RNA (352 nucleotides) under uncultured bacterium. RNAcentral describes it as "bacterial SSU rRNA". It matches the Rfam family "Bacterial small subunit ribosomal RNA", at positions 917 to 1269 of the family's 1533-position model. The record is from RNAcentral.